CCUACGGGGGGCAGCAGUGGGGAAUAUUGGACAGUGGGCGAAAGCCUGAUCCAGCAAUGCCGCGUGUGUGAAGAAGGUCUUCGGAUUGUAAAGCACUUUCGACGGGGACGAUGAUGACGGUACCCGUAGAAGAAGCCCCGGCUAACUUCGUGCCAGCAGCCGCGGUAAUACGAAGGGGGCUAGCGUCGCUCGGAAUGACUGGGCGUAAAGGGCGCGUAGGCGGUUUAUGCAGUCAGAUGUGGAAUCCCCGGGCUUAACCUGGGAACUGCAUUUGAGACGCAUAGACUAGAGGUCGAGAGAGGGUUGUGGAAUCCCCAGUGUAGAGGUGAAAUUCGUAGAUAUUGGGAAGAACACCGGUGGCGAAGGCGGCAACCUGGCUCGAUACUGACGCUGAGGCGCGAAAGCGUGGGGAGCAAACAGGAUUAGAUACCCCCGUAGUC
This 440-nucleotide ribosomal RNA is filed under the name uncultured bacterium. RNAcentral describes it as "bacterial SSU rRNA". It matches the Rfam family "Bacterial small subunit ribosomal RNA", at positions 338 to 795 of the family's 1533-position model. The record is from RNAcentral.